UGAACGCUGGCGGCGUGCCUAACACAUGCAAGUCGAACGAAGCACCUAACUUUGAAUCCUUCGGGUUGAAGAGUUUUGUGACUGAGUGGCGGACGGGUGAGUAACGCGUGGGUAACCUGCCUCAUACAGGGGGAUAACAGUUAGAAAUGACUGCUAAUACCGCAUAAGCGCACAGCAUCGCAUGGUGCAGUGUGAAAAACUCCGGUGGUAUGAGAUGGACCCGCGUCUGAUUAGCUAGUUGGCGAGGUAACAGCUCACCAAGGCGACGAUCAGUAGCCGGCCUGAGAGGGUGAACGGCCACAUUGGGACUGAGACACGGCCCAAACUCCUACGGGAGGCAGCAGUGGGGAAUAUUGCACAAUGGGGGAAACCCUGAUGCAGCGACGCCGCGUGAGCGAAGAAGUAUUUCGGUAUGUAAAGCUCUAUCAGCAGGGAAGAAAAUGACGGUACCUGACUAAGAAGCCCCGGCUAACUACGUG
This 479-nucleotide ribosomal RNA is filed under the name uncultured bacterium. Its description in RNAcentral is "bacterial SSU rRNA". It matches the Rfam family "Bacterial small subunit ribosomal RNA", at positions 30 to 507 of the family's 1533-position model. The record is from RNAcentral.